RNAcentral lists this ribosomal RNA (749 nucleotides) under uncultured bacterium. RNAcentral's name for it is "bacterial SSU rRNA". It matches the Rfam family "Bacterial small subunit ribosomal RNA", at positions 40 to 810 of the family's 1533-position model. The record is from RNAcentral.
CGGCGUGGAUAAGACAUGCAAGUCGAACGAGAGAAUUGCUAGCUUGCUAAUAAUUCUCUAGUGGCGCACGGGUGAGUAACACGUGAGUAACCUGCCCCCAAGAGUGGGAUAGCCCCGGGAAACUGGGAUUAAUACCGCAUAAAAUCGCAAGAUUAAAGCAGCAAUGCGCUUGGGGAUGGGCUCGCGUCCUAUUAGUUAGUUGGUGAGGUAACGGCUCACCAAGGCGAUGACGGGUAGCCGGUCUGAGAGGAUGUCCGGCCACACUGGAACUGAGACACGGUCCAGACACCUACGGGUGGCAGCAGUCGAGAAUCAUUCACAAUGGGGGAAACCCUGAUGGUGCGACGCCGCGUGGGGGAAUGAAGGUCUUCGGAUUGUAAACCCCUGUCAUGUGGGAGCAAAUUAAAAAGAUAGUACCACAAGAGGAAGAGACGGCUAACUCUGUGCCAGCAGCCGCGGUAAUACAGAGGUCUCAAGCGUUGUUCGGAAUCACUGGGCGUAAAGCGUGCGUAGGCGGUUUCGUAAGUCGUGUGUGAAAGGCGGGGGCUCAACCCCCGGACUGCACAUGAUACUGCGAGACUAGAGUAAUGGAGGGGGAACCGGAAUUCUCGGUGUAGCAGUGAAAUGCGUAGAUAUCGAGAGGAACACUCGUGGCGAAGGCGGGUUCCUGGACAUUAACUGACGCUGAGGCACGAAGGCCAGGGGAGCGAAAGGGAUUAGAUACCCCUGUAGUCCUGGCAGUAAACGGU